AAAAAACCUAUCCCUACCACCUUCAUCAGACAUCAAGCGUCUUUCUUCUGACACAUCCCAUGCUUUGGGCUGCCCAAAACCCAUUUGUCAUAAUGAUAUCCAUGCUUCCCGUCCAUUAAUUCUCCCUCUUUAUCCCUCCACACAUGCACAUUUAGAUCAGCAGCACCUAGUCUCAUUGUGAUGUCGUCUUCUUCUUUCCUUCAAACUAAACACCAUAGCAGUUUCAAUAUG
RNAcentral lists this long non-coding RNA (231 nucleotides) under Vitis vinifera (wine grape). Its description in RNAcentral is "long non-coding RNA (VVIN_LNC003556)". Lineage: Eukaryota; Viridiplantae; Streptophyta; Magnoliopsida; Vitales; Vitaceae. The record is from RNAcentral.